Molecule: ribosomal RNA, 37 nt
Filed under: Plasmodium vivax (malaria parasite P. vivax)
Lineage: Eukaryota; Apicomplexa; Aconoidasida; Haemosporida; Plasmodiidae
Description: rRNA PVP01_MIT02000
Source: RNAcentral
GUUAAGUUCUAUGAAAGAAUUUAUCUGCCUUGUCAAA